GCCUCCCGCAGGCCUGGUGUGAGCCUGGGGUCCGUUCUCACAGCUGGAUCUGGGGUCUGAAUGCCGCGCCCUCUGGAGAGCCACAGAUGGGUCUCCGCUGAUGCUUCUCUCAAUUUCCUCUAAGAGCGAGAGCUCCGGGAAAGGAGCCGAUCCUGGUGGAAGACUACAGGUCUGAGUCCACUGGACGAAAAACGAGGCUCCUUGGAUUAGAGACCAUCCUGAGGACAUCCUUGGGAGCCAUGUGCUGAAGAUGGCCAAGCCACAGGAUGAAAGGAGCUGCAUCUUUGAGUCACCACUGGAGAAAGGUCUCUCUAAAUGGAUUUGCAGAGACGUCUUCUCGAAUACUCCCCUUCUAAGUUCCACUUGUAAUCCACUUCUUCUAUUCUCCCAGCAAUCAAUGUGGUUUGGGGAAAUUCCAGAAUCUCAUAAUACCUUGGUCAUGGGUAAAUAAGGAAAGGACCUUUACAUACAUGUGAUGCAAAGCAGAUCAAAACAAGCAGAGCAGCCUAAGAGCAGCAAGACCCCAAAGGAUAAGGGAAGUCCUGCAGAAGAGCAGAGCGGUGCUGCAAAGGCAGGCAGAGAUGAGGUUUCGCCAUGUUGACCAGGCUGGUCUCAAACUCCUGGACUCAAGUGAUCUGCCCACCUCGGCCUCCCAAAGUACUGGGAUUACAGGCAUGAGCCAAUGUGCCCGUCCUGAGGAGUUUUCUUCUGGAAUUCCUGCUGGGUUUUUGUAGUCAGUCCUCUCCCCAUUUCCCACAUUGGCUCUUGCAGACCUUCCUUUUCCCCAUUUCUAUUUGCUACCAUGUCAGACAUGACUUUUGCCAUAGGAUCUCUAUUCUACUAUAGAGGAAACCAAAGCCAUCAGUAGAAAUUUCACUAACAUGGAAUCAGAUUUAUAGAAGAAAGGGGGAGGAAAGUUUUGCCUUAACACCUGGAAGGGUUUCGUUUCUUUUAGUAGCUGGGAGACAGAAACAUAAGAAAGUAGCUUAGUAAGCUUUCUGCUGUUCAACUGAUGAUGUGUGAGCUGUCAGUAGUUCAAACUAGUCAUUAUCUUUAUGAAUUAAUUAUGUAAUAACUUAAACAAUGUCAUAAACCUUCAAAUCAG
Molecule: long non-coding RNA, 1105 nt
Filed under: Homo sapiens (human)
Lineage: Eukaryota; Metazoa; Chordata; Mammalia; Primates; Hominidae
Description: HSALNT0333299
Source: RNAcentral